AAGUUACCAGACCCACUCACUCCACAGCAGACGACUUUCUCCUGUUCUUCACUUAAAAACUCCCUUCUAGAUUUACGCCGCGUACCGAACCUUCUGGUCUGCAGUGUGGUCAUCUUUCACCUACGUCUGAGCGACAGGGGAUGACCUCCAUAUUUCGGGAGGGCAGGGGAUGACCUCUUAGAUUCAGAAGGGCAGGGAGUGACCUCCAAGUUUCUGAAGGGCAGGGUGUGACCUCCAAGUUUCUGGAUGGCAGGCGAUGACCUCCAAGUUUCAUGUCGUCUUGGAAAUGCUGGAGAAACAGAGAAGACAAGGGCGACAACAUUUUCAUUCACUUGGAGUUGUGCUUCCUGACAAAGAAUACAAAAGCGUCCACGUGUAGAGCCUUGACUCUUUAAAAUAUGAUGUCCAUAACACGGUAGAUGUUAACCUUUCCAUACCAUUAGGACCAGGGAAAUUGAAAUUCGUGUGUUAGAGAAAGAAGAGACACGGGCUUAGAAUAUACACAAACAAAAACAGUUUGAUUCUAUUGGUAUGAAAUAAACCUCUUGGCAUAGUUGCCUUGAUACACUGAGAUAGAAAGCAGGAGAGGGGAAAUGAGGAGAGAGGGAGACAUUGAGAAAGAGAGGAAGAUGGGAAAAGACAUAGAGAGUGGGGGAACAGAAAGAAAGAGAGGGAGACAGAGAAAAAAAGAAGAAUAUGAGGAAAGAGAGACAGAAAGAAAAAAAAAAGAAAGGUGAUUGAAAAAGAGAGGUUGAUUUUAGGGAGAGAUUCAGAUAGUGUGAGAAUAAGAGAAAAAAAAAAGAUUAAAGUGGCAGGAGGGAGAGAGAGAGAGAGAGAGAAACUAAAUAAAAAUAUUUAGAAACUUUAAGUUUAAAAUAUUUAUAAAUAAUUUAAAAUUUAUUCAUUUAUAUUUGUGUGUUUCGAUGCAAUAAAAAUGUGUACUCAAAUAGUGUGUUGUCUUUUUAUCUUGGAUCGUUGCCGCUCCCAGGAUAAAGUGUCCCCUCCCCCCAGUCCUCAAAUGUGCAGUAAGUCUUGAGACACACACUGAAGACACUACUGCAUCUUUGGGGAGGAAAUGAGUUGACCUUUUAUUUUCUUUCGUUUUCGUUGCGCCGUUAAGACCGUAGAGUCCGAACAUUGAGACCACAAAAGUCCCUUUAGUCUACCUUGACCAUAUAGAUUGUCCACUGUCUAGACUAGUUAGCACACCGUCAGUGACCUCUCUCAUUUUGAUAUCUCAGUACAAUCUUAGGGCCAUCUUGUUAGGCACACUCGCGAACGCAUACAAACACACACAUUUGACAAAACACACACACACACACUUAUGCAUGAUGCAUUGAUUUUUUCAUGUAUGUUUUUGUUGUUAAAGUCAGAAUGUUCUAUUGAUUCCAUUGGUUGCCUCCCCAUUAUCAAGAUAAACCAGACGAGACCACGAUCGCCAAUGCCUCGAUAAUCCAAAGCGAUACUGCAAGUCAAUCAACUGAGUCAGAAAACUUGGAGGCGUUCCUAAUUGCAACUGUUGUCAUGGCAUCUGUCGCUGCUUCUUUCACCAUUUCAACAGUAAUAGCCUGUUAUCGAUACCACAGUACAAAAAAGAAAAGGUUGAAAGACAACUAUGAUGAACUGGACACGAGAAUCACUGACCGAGUGUUUUAUCAUAGACCUCAAGUCAAUGCUCAAAACUCCAGCAGUUCCUGUGCCAGUGGCUACCUAGACGUUGUCUCAAGUCGCUCUUCUUCACCACGUGACACCCCAGCAGAAGCCGGAACUGACGCAAACCCUUAUGCUGAGAUAGGCGAAAUGUGCAUGGCGGGAGAAAGUAAAACUGCAGACGAGUGACCUCAUCCUUGUAUUACCACCUUUGUUUUUAAUCCCGUCCUCAGCUUGACCAGAUUGAAUGGCUGUGAUAUAAUUUAAACAACUGGUUGUUACAAUUUUUUUACAAUAAUAAUUAAACGAGUGUAACACUGUCUUGUGUAACAUCGACAAGAGUAACAUAGACAAGCGUAACAUUGAUUAGCGUAAAUUGACUUGGAUAACAUUGCCUAGGGUAACAUUGAUGAGUGUAACAUCGACUAGUGUAACAUUGACUUGAAUAACAUCUACUAGUUUAACAUUGACUAAGGUAACAUUGAUUAGGGUAAGACUAGGGUAAUUUACUAGGGUAACUUUGACUAGUGUAACAUCGACUAGUGUAACAUUGACCAGUGCAACAUAAGGCAAACAUAAUGAUUUGACCAGUAUAACUAUGACCAUCGUCACCUACACAGCAAACCAAUAAUUUUGAAAUGACCACAGGACAUUGACCAGCUUAGCACUACCACGUACUAGUGUCAUGUCCUCUUGACUUCAAAAGUCCUUCAGUUUAAGUGUUGUGCUAACUAAUGUCACAUGUUGACAUAAAUGUCAGUGACAACAUCGUGAAAAGAAAAAACUCCAUGAAAUGUUCAGUGUGAAGCGAUUAUAAGUUUAUAGAUCUAUUUAAAACGUAUUAUAAAUCAUUGUAUAUACAAUUGUUUGACAUUGAUAUGAAUUGGGUUGUUAAAUAUAUAGGUAACUAUUAAAUAUAAUUACACA
Biomphalaria glabrata is the source of this 2577-nucleotide RNA transcript. RefSeq lists it as uncharacterized. The record is from RefSeq and is a predicted model, not a curated record. The transcript has 5 exons. NCBI's taxonomy places the organism in Eukaryota, Metazoa, Mollusca, Gastropoda, Planorbidae.